This 253-nucleotide ribosomal RNA is filed under the name uncultured bacterium. RNAcentral's name for it is "partial 16S ribosomal RNA". It matches the Rfam family "Bacterial small subunit ribosomal RNA", at positions 524 to 776 of the family's 1533-position model. The record is from RNAcentral.
UACGAAGGGGGCUAGCGUUGUUCGGAUUUACUGGGCGUAAAGAGCGUGUAGGCGGCCAUGUAGGUCCGUUGUGAAAACUCGAGGCUCAACCUCGAGACGCCGAUGGAAACCAUGUGGCUAGAGUCCGGAAGAGGAGAGUGGAAUUCCUGGUGUAGCGGUGAAAUGCGCAGAUAUCAGGAAGAACACCCGUGGCUAAGGCGGCUCUCUAGUACGGUACUGACGCUGAGACGCGAAAGCGUGGGGAGCGAACAGG